CAAUAGCGUAUAUUAAAGUUGUUGCAGUUAAAAAGCUCGUAGUUGGAUUUCUGGUUGAAGCGACCGGUCGGGCGUUGAUUCGUCUGCACUGGAGUCGGUUUUGGCCAUCCUCUAGGAAAGUGCGUCUGGUAUUAAGUUAUCGGGCGUAUGAUCCUGGUCUUUUACUGUGAAAAAAUUAGAGUGUUUAAAGCAGGCCUUCGCCUUGAAUACAUUAGCAUGGAAUAAUAAGGUAGGACUUUGGUCUAUUUUGUUGGUUUGCAGACCGAAGUAAUGAUUAAUAGGGAUAGUUGGGGGUAUUUAUAUUCCGAUGUCAGAGGUGAAAUUCUUAGAUUUUCGGAAGAUAAACUUAUGCGAAAGCAUUUACCAAGGAUGUUUNCAUUA
Molecule: ribosomal RNA, 381 nt
Filed under: uncultured eukaryote
Lineage: Eukaryota
Description: partial 18S ribosomal RNA
Rfam family: Eukaryotic small subunit ribosomal RNA
Source: RNAcentral